RNAcentral lists this long non-coding RNA (5382 nucleotides) under Sus scrofa (pig). RNAcentral's name for it is "lncRNA (ENSSSCG00000053400.1)". The record is from RNAcentral. Lineage: Eukaryota; Metazoa; Chordata; Mammalia; Artiodactyla; Suidae.
GAAGUUACUAGGCUAGGGGUCAAAUCAGAGCUACUACUGCCGGCCUACACCACAGCUGCAGCAACUGGGGAUCCAAGCCGCAUCUGUGACCUACACCAUGGUUCAUUGCAAUGUCAGAUCCCUGACCCACUGAGCGAGGCCAGGGAUCGAACCCUUAUUCUCAUGGAUUCUAAUCAGAUUUGUUUCCACUGUACCACAAUGGGAACUCUGGCCAUACAUUUUUUUUAAAAGUUAAUAGGAGUUCCCAUGUAGCUCAGUGGUUAAUGAAUCCGACUAAGAACCAUGAGGUUGUGGGUUCGAUCCCCGGCCUUGUUCAGUGGGUUGAGCCUUGAGCUGUGGUGUAGGUUGCAGACGUGGCUCGGAUCCCACACUGCUGUGGCUCUGGAGUAGGCCGGCAGCUACAGCUCCAAUUAGACCCCUAGCCUGGGAACCUCCACAUGCCGUGGGAAUGGCCCCAGAAAAGGCAAAAAGACAAAAAGAUGACAAAAAUAAAUAAAUAAAAUAAAUAAAAUAAAAGAUAAUAAUUUCACAACUAGAAGACAUUAUUUAAGUAUGGAUCCAAAUUUCUGGGAUAGUCCUUGGUGUAUGUUUGUGUGUGUAAGACAGAAUUCAGACCUUCAUUUCUUUGGCGUCAUACUUAAUAAUAAUGAGUAUCAUUUAAAUGUAUAAAAAGUAUUAAAAUUGUAAUGGGACAGAUUGUGUAAUGUGAUUUAUAGUGAGUGAAUGCAAAAUGGAACUGUAAUAGUGAUUUCUUUAGUGAGGUCUCUUUCUAGAAUGCUGCACUUCCAAUGUCAAUAUAAAACUUAGGGAAAAAAGUUGCUUAGAAGACUGUCUAAAUUUAUGAAAAGGUUACCUUUAUCUUAAGUGGUCACUUUAUGAAAAGGUUACCUUUAUCUUAAGUGGUCACUUAAGUGAGCAAAUAAAUAUGAAUUCUGACCUAGGAAGUACUUAGAAUUUCAAACCUUAGAUGAGCAAGAUUAUCUAAUUUUAGGUAUUAGAGCUAAAAGAAUUUAAGAAAAAAGCAAAUUUCUGGUCCAAAAGAAUCCCUAGAAUCCUUACUAAAAUGCUAUAACCAAGCUUAUUCUGGGAAAGCCCAUGGGAAAAGGAAAUGGAUUCAGAAAGUUCUGUUAGAUUCCCAUUCAGCUUGUGAGUCAAGAUGCUUCUCAAGACAGAAUGAAUUAAAAAGGAAAACGAUAAUUUUCAGCAGGAAAAAAAUGAAAGCUCGCAUUAACUUAAAAGUAAGUUUGGUUAAUUACAAACCUAAAAUUUGCUUAAAAAAAAAAAAUCACAGCUCAAAAUACAAUGAAGAAGUACAGGUUUAGUAAAGCCAAAACCAGUAAGUACAACCAACUCUCAAUUAUCCAGGGUGAUUUUAAAGCAUCAGUAAGAAUUACUUUUUAGAAACCCAGAAAUAACAGAGAUAAUGUUCACCAAUUAGGGGAGAAGUGAUAACUGACUUCAUGCCCCCCGACCCUCUCCACUUAAAAAUUAUGAAUUGGCUGUACUAAAGAGAAGAAAGCUGAAAGCUAGAUGUGCAUCGUGUAUACCCAGAAUAGCUGAACAUUGAUGAUUUAGUUGACUUAAAUCAAUGAUAUAAUUGAUAUCUACAAUCCUGAUGCUGGAGUUGCAAAAACAAAAAACAAAAAACAAACAAAAAAAACACAGGAAGGAGUGGUCAGAUGGCCUUUCAAGUUAUAUGUACUUCCAAACAGAUCAAAAAAAGCUAUUCAUGGCAUGCAUGAUUUAAAAAAAAAAAAAAAAUCUAGCUCUACUUCAGCAUUCUUUCUCUUCCAUUUUGGAAGCCAGCACACCCAAGUUAAAUGUCUACCCACAAACGAAAGCCCAAAUGCCAGUCUCUGCUGGGAAUCUGUACAUGCAGAUGUGGGGCCUCAGAAUACCUCCAAAAAAUCCACUAACUUGAUAAGCUAAAAAGCAAAGUGAAGUCAUUAAAAAAAUUUUUUUUCUGUUUUGUUUUACAUGAGUUUAAAAAUCAGGUUUUCUGUUUUGUUUACAUGAGUUUAAAAAUCAAAUCUCAAUUCUACUUACUAUUUGGUGGCCCUGUUGCCUGGUAUGGUGGAUAGGAUGCUGAAAGAGUAGGACGAGAGAAGACCGGAGGUUCAUCUCCAAACACCACAAUCAUGACCUGAAUAAGCCCCAACAAAUCUGACUGUGGCUAAAAAUGGAAAACAAAUUUAAGUCAGCUACAGAUUCACUUUUUGGCAAAUAGGAAAAAUCUGGUCAUUUCUUAGUCUUUAUUUAUUUUUUAUUACUCAAAUGAAUUUAUCACAUCUGUAGUUGUAUAAUGAUCAUAACAAUCCAAUUUCACAGGAUUUCCAUCCCACAACCCAAGCACAUCCCCCACCCCCCAAACUGUCUCCUCUGGAGACCAUAAGUUUUUCAAUGUCUGUGAGUCAGCGUCUGUUCUGCAAAGAAGUUCAGUCUCUUUUUCAAAUUCCACAUGUCAGUGAAAGCAUUUGAUGUUGGUGUCUCAUUGUAUAGGUAACUUCGCUUAGUAUAAUAAUUUCUAGGUCCACCCAUAUUGCUAAAAAUGCUGGUAUUUCGUUCUUUUCAAUGGCUGAGUAAUAUUCCAUUGUGUAUAUGUACCACAUCUUCUUGAGCCAUCUGAUUUGUUUUCAACUCAGCUCAAUAACUUCCUUUGUAGGACCACAAACAUAAAAAUUCCAUUUGAUAAAGCUAUGUGAUUUUUACAUAUUAUUUACAUGUAACAAGGUGUUGCUUCACGUGUAUAAAAACAGCACUAGCCAAAGGAUAGUAUCGUUCUUCAUUUGAUUCCACACAACUAACCAAAACUUUUAUUUCCAAUGGACAAAUUACAAAUUCUCAUACAAAUUCAUGGACGGAUGUGUGCAGUAGUCACAAAUAUUAUUUAAGGCCAUUAAAAGAUAACAAUGUUACCUUGGAAACUUGUUCCUAGAUUAAUUUUUAUUAAAGACAGUAUUACGAACUCUGAAAUUACAGGCAGACUUCAUUUCAGAAAUCACUAGAGUACACAAGAUACAAAUCGUUAAAGGAUUUUUCCUUCCAAUACCAUAGUGAAAGUUAGAGUGUCUGUAUCCUAUAAAUGUUGCUAAACUUUUCUCUCAAGUAUCUACUGAUCACUAAUUUAAGACAAAUUAUGCUAGGCAAAGUUGUUCAAAUUGGCUUAUCUGAUGGCUCCAUUUUCACUUCUUACUACAUUUUGUGUAUAUCUCACCUCAUGUACUUCAUGAGUUCAUCAGGUUCUGAAGGAUAACUUAAUCAUCUCGAUCAGCUAAUCAUCUUAAUUUCCUUCUCCGGAUGGGAGAGUUCACUAGCAGCUUUCAACUUCCCAAAGCACUAUUUUAUUAAAUUCUGUCCCAAUGUAUGGACAAUGACAAAAGGUAACAUUUCAGAAAGCUUCUUAUGAAAAUUUGCUGAUUCUCACUAUUCCAACACCUGUCUUAUGUCUGGCUGUGAAUUUACAUGCUGAGACUGGGAGUGAUCACAUACAGUAUCUGUGUAGCACCGAGGAAUGUGGACUAGAGAUCAUAGCUGAUGUGUGUGGGGUCACUAUUGAAAUCACACACUUUAAUCUCUUGUUAAUUAUUUAGUCCAACAAAACUCCCAAGGUAAAUCAUAACCUCAUGCAUUUAAGAAACUGAGAUAUAAUUCAUAUACCCUCGAAAGGUGUAUGGUUCAGUGGCUUUUUCCAUCACCACUAUUUAAUUCCAGAAUAUUUUUAUUAUCCUCCAAAGAAACCUGUACCUAUUAGUACUCAUUUCCAAUUUUCCCCUUCCCCAAGCCCUGGCAACCACUAAUCUAUUUUGUCAAUGGACUUGCCUAUUCUGGAUAUUUCAUACAAUCCAAUGAUCAAGUGGAAUCAUAUGAUGCGUGUCUGGCUUUUUUCACUUAGCAAAUUUUCAAGGUUUACCCAUGAUGAAAUAUUAACUUCAUUUAUGCAGUCUUAUAACCAUAGUUUUGUCAGGAAAAGUUUUACUUCAAUUCUUUAUCAUAUCAUUUCUUUCACUUUAAAGUCUUUGAAGGAAGGAAAAUUAAUCAUUAAUACCUAUUUCCAGGCCUAUUACAAAGCAACAGUCAUGAAUCUUUCAGAAUGACAAAUGACUAAUUCAGAAUAAUACAGGAGGAGUUUGCUUGUGUGGCUCAGUGGGUUAAGGAUCUGGUAUUGUCAUUCCCACAUGCCACGUGUGCGGCCAAAAGAAAAAAGGAAUGAUAUAGGAUAUAAGAAAAGCAGCAAGAUUAUUAGUUUAUUUCGGCUCAAACGCCUAAGGGUCAACUGAAAUAAUAUCUUUAUAAAACUGCUUUGCUACUGAAAACCAUCUUAAUAUCCCUGUGACAACAGCAUGCUAUCUACUGCAGCAAUCUGGCAUGAUACAGAAUGUAAACUAGGGCUGUUAUCAUUUAUCUUGACCUUACUAAUUAAAUUGCUUAUUAAUCCUGAACAUACAUAUUGUUCAGAAUGUAAAAUCUGCUAUCGUGUGUGUGGUGUGUGUGUGUGUGUGUGUGUGUUUAGGGCCACACCCGCAACACAUGGAAGUUCUUAGGCUAGGGAUCAAAUCAGAGCUGUAGCUGCCGGCCUAUGCCACAGCCACAGCAAGCCAGAUCAGAGCCGCACCCGUGACCUGUACUGCAGCUCAUGGCAAUGCCAGCUCCUUAACCCACUGUGUGAAGCCAGGAAUCAAACCAAAGUUCUCAUGGAUACUAGUCAGGUUCUUAACCCACUGAACCACAAUGAGAAUUCCUUCUUGGCUAUCCUUAAUCUUUUGCAUUUCCAUAUAAAUUUUAGAUUCAUCAAGUUCACGAAAUUAAAUACAUAAAGAAAGAAAAACUUCUGUUAGGACAUAGAUCAAUCUGUAGAGAACCAGUAUUUUUAUCAUACUGAGUCUUCCAAUCCAUGAAUAAGGUUCUCUUUGCUUUUACUUAAGUCUUCUAUAAUAUCUUUCAUUAAAAUUUAGAAUUUUCUCCAUAAUGGACUUGGACAUCUUUUGUAAGAUUUAUUCCUAAGACAAUAGCAUUAAAAACAUAAAGUAUUAUAUAUCAGUCCAUUCAUUCUCUAUUCUGCUGAGUCCAAUCUGCUAUUAAACCCAUCUAUCCCAUCUAUUGAGUUCUUUUUGUUUUCUUUUUUGGCUUUGCCCAGGGUAUGUAAAAGCUCCCAGGUGGGGAAUUCCUGUCACGGCUCAGCAGUAAUGAACUCAACUAGUGUCCAUGAUAAUGCCGGUUCAAUCCCUGGCCUUGCUCAGUGGGUUAAGGAUCUGGUGUUGCCAUGAGCUGUGGUAGAGAUCUUAGACCCAGCUCGGAUACCAUGUUGCUAUGGCUGUAGUGUAGGCCAGUGGCCACAGCACUGAUUCGACCCCUAGCCUGGGAACUUUCCAUAUGCCGCAGGUG